UUAGUGGGCGAACGGGUGAGUAACACGUGAGUAACCUGCCCUUGACUCUGGGAUAAGCCUGGGAAACUGGGUCUAAUACCGGAUAUGACUGUCUGACGCAUGUCAGGUGGUGGAAAGCUUUUGUGGUUUUGGAUGGACUCGCGGCCUAUCAGCUUGUUGGUGGGGUAAUGGCCUACCAAGGCGACGACGGGUAGCCGGCCUGAGAGGGUGACCGGCCACACUGGGACUGAGACACGGCCCAGACUCCUACGGGAGGCAGCAGUGGGGAAUAUUGCACAAUGGGCGCAAGCCUGAUGCAGCGACGCCGCGUGAGGGAUGACGGCCUUCGGGUUGUAAACCUCUUUCAGUAGGGAAGAAGCGAAAGUGACGGUACCUGCAGAAGAAGCGCCGGCUAACUACGUGCCAGCAGCCGCGGUAAUACGUAGGGCGCAAGCGUUAUCCGGAAUUAUUGGGCGUAAAGAGCUCGUAGGCGGUUUGUCGCGUCUGCUGUGAAAGACCGGGGCUCAACUCCGGUUCUGCAGUGGGUACGGGCAGACUAGAGUGCAGUAGGGGAGACUGGAAUUCCUGGUGUAGCGGUGAAAUGCGCAGAUAUCAGGAGGAACACCGAUGGCGAAGGCAGGUCUCUGGGCUGUAACUGACGCUGAGGAGCGAAAGCAUGGGGAGCGAACAGGAUUAGAUACCCUGGUAGUCCAUGCCGUAAACGUUGGGCACUAGGUGUGGGGGACAUUCCACGUUUUCCGCGCCGUAGCUAACGCAUUAAGUGCCCCGCCUGGGGAGUACGGCCGCAAGGCUAAAACUCAAAGGAAUUGACGGGGGCCCGCACAAGCGGCGGAGCAUGCGGAUUAAUUCGAUGCAACGCGAAGAACCUUACCAAGGCUUGACAUGAACCGGUAAUACCUGGAAACAGGUGCCCCGCUUGCGGUCGGUUUACAGG
This 934-nucleotide ribosomal RNA is filed under the name Paenarthrobacter nitroguajacolicus. Its description in RNAcentral is "bacterial SSU rRNA". It matches the Rfam family "Bacterial small subunit ribosomal RNA", at positions 91 to 1038 of the family's 1533-position model. Lineage: Bacteria; Bacillati; Actinomycetota; Actinomycetes; Micrococcales; Micrococcaceae. The record is from RNAcentral.